GCUGACCCUGCUGCCGCCGUGAUCCCUCCGUAGCGAACUUUUGGAAGCCUUUGCAAGCCCCGGAAGGGGUUCUCGCGACAGUAAAUAAGGAGAGCGCAAGUAGCGCUGUUGGGAACAGCAGUGCUGCAGCACAAUCGAAUUGCGGGGACAUCCUAAAGCCGAAGGGUACUAACCUACCGCAGGAAUGCGUUAGGGGCCUGUGGUAACUCACAGGGUACAGUAAUAACCCCCGAGGAUUCAGCUACAUCAGCUGGAAUGGACAAUCCGCAGCGAAGCCUCUCUUAUAGAGGAACGUCCACAGACUAAGUGAUUGUGGGUAGGACGGGGAGUCCUGCUUAAGAUAUAGUCGGGCCUAGGCGAGAAAUCCCUAGGGUAUUCGCUAGAAUACAAGCAGUCGGGUCGCGACCCAAGGUCCCUUGCGUCGGGGACUCGACUGCGUCAACCGCUCCGUAGGUGAACCUGCGGAGGGAUCAUUACAGAGUUCAUGCCCGCGAGGGUAGAUCUCCCACCCGUGUCUUGUAACAUUGUUGCUUUGGGGAGCCCGCUCCCCAGAGACCAAACCCUGAAAUAAAUGUCGUCAGAGCACUAUAAAAUAGUUAAAACUUUCAACAACGGAUCUCUUGGUUCUGGCAUCGAUGAAGAACGCAGCGAAAUGCGAUAAGUAAUGUGAAUUGCAGAAUUCAGUGAAUCAUCGAAUCUUUGAACGCACAUUGCGCCCUAUGGUAUUCCGUAGGGCAUGCCUGUUCGAGCGUCAUUACACCCCUCUCGCCCCGCGAGGUCUUGGCCGAAGCCCCUAGGGCCCGGCUCAAAAGCAGUGGCAGUGUCCCCCGGGCCUCAGCGUAGUACAUCUUCCGCUCGAGUCCCCCGGUGUGCGCCCCACAACCAACCCCAUUUUUCAGUUUGACCUCGGAUCAGGUAGGGAUACCCGCUGAACUUAAGCAUAUCAAUAAGCGGAGGAAAAGAAACC
This 967-nucleotide small RNA is filed under the name Chlorociboria aeruginella. RNAcentral's name for it is "eukaryotic LSU rRNA". The stretch from base 601 to 754 matches the Rfam family "5.8S ribosomal RNA". The record is from RNAcentral. Lineage: Eukaryota; Fungi; Ascomycota; Leotiomycetes; Helotiales; Chlorociboriaceae.